AGCACUCUUGUAACUCUACUUUUGAUCUCAAUGAGAACCUAAUAGAAAAACUCUUUCAUAAAAAAAUUGAUAUUUUAUGUUUCUAGUGUGUGUGGCACACUUUAUCUCAAUAUUCUGGAAGGUUGUAAAAAAGGGAAUUACCUUUUCUUAUGUAUAAUUUUAUUAAUUAAGCCUUGCAUUCUAAAUCCGCUCCUAGCUUUAUGGCAUCCCUUUUUUUCAUAUUAUUUGUCUGUUUUUUUUUUCAUAGACUCGGUUGUUCAGUGCCUUUUUUUCUUUUAACUUUUUGUUAUUUUCAUUUUAAGAUAUAUUGUGUGGCUUCUAAAUUUACAAACACACCUUGGUACUACUACUACAUCUUUUCUCUCUCUUUCUCUUGUACUCUGCUUAAAGAAGAUUAGCUUUGUUGAAGAAAGGACCUUUUCCUUUUCUGAUCUUUUAUUUCAGAUCAGAUUUUUUGUUAGUCAAUGCUCAAAAGGAGGAGACAAUAUUGAUCAUCUAUAUAAACUCUUCUUUGAGACCAUUGAAUCUAAAUCUACAAGAUUAUUUGUGGUAAUAAUCUCAUUAUGUUCUUUUUCUUAGUAAAUUCUUUUCUCUAUUUUUUUUCUCAUCAAAUUCUAUAAAUGAAUUAUAGGCUUGUACCGAAUUUGAUUUUGAUCACAAUUAUGCUUAAUCUAUUUGAUCAAAUGCUUACAUGAAAAUUAUGAGUAAGUCUUUUUUUAUUUAUAUUUUUGAAAUAAAUUAGAGAGUGAUCUGAAUUUUUAAGAAAACCACAGAAAUGUGAUAUUUGGAAGGUCUUUGAGUUGCGUCAAAAUUUUUUGGGGUUUGUUUAGAUCUUAGGACAUGGGUUUUUUAUUUUAUUUUCAUGGAGCUUGGUUGCUUAACAAUGGAGGUUGGGCUCACUUGGCCCAGUCCAAGGACCUUGUACUUCUAAUUUUCAUGGAGCUUUGUUGUUUUUAUAUAUGGAGUUGGGGUUUACUUGGUAUAGUCCAAGGAUAUAAAAAAGUUGCCUGAGGCUGAUAGUUUGGACAAUCACAUUUCAUUUCAGAUUAUGGGACUAGUAAUGAUAUGAAAAAGGUUCUCGUUCACAUAAUUAAAUAGUUGGGGAUAUUGUGUCAAUGAUCUUUUCUCAUACACUUAUUAUGGCAUUUAUUGUCAAUUGUUCAGAACCAAUGAAGAGAAACUCAGUCACAGCAAUGGCUUAGUUUUUUGAUACAAAGCUGAGAUGAGUCACCUUAUUAAGUCAAAAAACCAUGGAUCAA
Long non-coding RNA from Humulus lupulus (European hop), 1259 nucleotides. RefSeq lists it as uncharacterized. The transcript has 4 exons. Lineage: Eukaryota; Viridiplantae; Streptophyta; Magnoliopsida; Rosales; Cannabaceae. The record is from RefSeq and is a predicted model, not a curated record.